RNAcentral lists this non-coding RNA (922 nucleotides) under Osteocephalus taurinus (Manaus slender-legged treefrog). RNAcentral's name for it is "partial 12S ribosomal RNA". It matches the Rfam family "Bacterial small subunit ribosomal RNA". The record is from RNAcentral. Lineage: Eukaryota; Metazoa; Chordata; Amphibia; Anura; Hylidae.
UGGUCCUAGCCUUGUAAUCAAUUAUUACUUAAUUUACACAUGCAAGUCUCCGCACUCCUGUGAAAACGCCCUUAAAUCCCCAAUAGGGAUAAGGAGCUGGUAUCAGGCACAAUUUAUAGCCCAAGACACCUAGCUAUGCCACACCCACACGGGAAUUCAGCAGUGAUUAACAUUGAAAAUAAGCGACAGCUUGACUCAGUCAAAGUAAAAAGAGCCGGCUAAUCUGGUGCCAGCCGCCGCGGUUACACCACGUGGCUCAAAUUGAUUUCUUUCGGCGUAAAGCGUGAUUAAAGUCAUCAACAAAUUAUAGCCAAACUAAGACUAAGCUGUGACACGCUUGUAUUUAGGAAGACCAAAACGAAAGUUGCUAUAAUUAAAACAACUUGAACCCACGACAGUUGGGACACAAACUGGGAUUAGAUACCCCACUAUGCCUAACCGUAAACUUUAAAUUACAUCUAUAUCGCCCGGGAACUACGAGCAAAGCUUAAAACCCAAAGGACUUGACGGUACCCCACAUCCACCUAGAGGAGCCUGUCCUAUAAUCGAUAACCCCCGUUCAACCUCACCAUUUUUAGCUUAUCAGCCUGUAUACCUCCGUCGUCAGCUUACCACGUGAGCGACUUCCAGUGAGCUUAAUGCCCAUACGCCAACACGUCAGGUCAAGGUGCAGCAGAUAAAAUGGGAAGAGAUGGGCUACACUCUCUAUUCUAGAAAAUACGGAAGACUAUUUAUGAAACCUAGUCAGAAGGCGGAUUUAGUAGUAAAAAGAGAUAAGAGCGCUCUUUUUAACAUGGCACUGGGGUGUGUACACACCGCCCGUCACCCUCUUCAAAGCUAAUAUGAAGUUCUUAACACACUUAAGCACUACAGAAGAGGCAAGUCGUAACAUGGUAAGUAUACCGGAAGGUGUGCUUGGAAA